RNAcentral lists this long non-coding RNA (2242 nucleotides) under Takifugu rubripes (torafugu). RNAcentral describes it as "lncRNA (ENSTRUG00000030375.1)". Lineage: Eukaryota; Metazoa; Chordata; Actinopteri; Tetraodontiformes; Tetraodontidae. The record is from RNAcentral.
AUGGUACAGCUGAUUCACGUUGUACGUACUUCAGAAAACGCCAAAGACCGACCACAGAAACCACAAAUCGGCGUCAAUCUGCUCAAAUGUUUGCCACAAAACGGGCAAAAGGCCACUUGCAUGUCGUCCAUCCUGCGUCACGAUGAAGUCCUUACCCGCUUUCGAUUCAGGUCAGUUUGGCCAUCAAUGUACAUCGCCAGCAAUGGAACAUGCCUGUUCUGCACACAAUACUGUGAUGGUUGCUCGUUCUGUUGUUUGAUAUCUGGAUCUUAGAGCCAAAAUUGUCCUUCGGACGCGUCUGUUCCUCACCAGACGGCGGGAUCGCAGCAAAAGAAUAUUAAAGAUAAUGAAAAGCAGUUCUGGAGCCAUUUUGUGAUGUAAAAUUCCUGUAUGUAAAAUUCCUGUAUUACUUAUAUAGAUAUUUGAGAAUGUACCAUCAUGUCAUGGCGCGAAAAUGUCACCGGACACUAAUUAUUUGAGAUAAUAAGGAAGUGUUAUGUUAUUGUUAUUGACAUUAAUAUUUUAAUCUAUUAUUAUUAUAUAAAGAUAUAAUAGGGUAAAAUAUUGCACUUUCAAAGAAACGAGCGCUGAAUGUGGUUGGGUAUGUUUCGGAUGGGUUAAAAUAAUUAAAUGGACCUGGCCACUUUUCCCGGGGAACGGGGAACGGUUCGUUAUUAUUAUGCGACAACAUUACGUCAUUUUACGUGCGCCGUAGUGUCCGAAAGCUAAUUUUGAAUUGAGUGCGCUACGUAGUUCACUCAAUCCAUGUCCCCCAUGUAGUGAGUAGUGAAUAGGGAACGAGUGUGUGGUUUCGGAAACAGCCACGGUCUCAUCCAAAGAUCUGUCCACAUCCCAACUGAGCAGGAACACUAUCACCCUCUCCACAAUCGACUUGACCUGGAGAGGAAAAAACACUGAUUUAGGAGGACCAACUGUUCCCACAAGUCCUAUAUUUACCAAAAAAUACUACAUUCACAUGUUCCUGUUGCCUUUCACAUAGUUUUGAGGCUCCAGUUGAUCCAGUUUCUAUCUUCCGUUGCAGUGUACUUUAACUCCAGGCUCCUCUAUUGUACUUUUACCCCUCCACAUUUCAGGCCAGUUAAUUUACUAAACAAUAAGAAGCAUAAUUUGUUAAUCACUGACGUAAAGACGCUCUGUUACCGAUAACAAACCACGUCUGGAUUCGACUGUGGUUCGUAAUACAUCAUCCACUGGCCACCACUCGUCAUGCAGGUAUACAGCCAAGACUGAGUUGUAAAACACGACACUUUACUGCUUGUCUUUCACGUCUGAUGGGGAUCACAAGUCUGGUUCCGGACCUUGUGUUGGGUCACCGGAGGGGUGAAGCGCCAACAGUGUGCAGUCAGCUCCACCAUCUUCAAACAGCUGCAAGCGCGUUACAUUGUUUACUGUUAUGGUUGUCUGAGGAAAAAAAGGACAGACUAGUUGGUUUUUUUAACCCCACAAUCAAGAGGAACAUUCUUGUGACUGAGGAUGCAAACUGGUCAUAAAAAGCAGUAAUAGGUGUUACCUUAUUGGUCGUGGAAGAUUGGAAUUCUUUAGUUUUAUGAGGUAUUUGCUCCAGAGAAGAGAGGUACUGUUCAGAUGCCAAUGUGAGAUCUGUGUCGCCCACAACUGGAAGGUCUACGGCAGGGGUCGGCAACCCGCGGCUCGAGAGCCGCAUGCGGCUCUUUAGCGCCGCCCUAGUGGCUCUCUGGAGCUUUAGCAAAUAUAGGGAAAAGAUGUGUGAAUAUAUUUUUUUGUUUUAAUAUAAUUUCUGUAGGAGGAAAAACAUGACAAACAUUCUUAAAGUUUUCCAAUGCUGUAAAAAUUUGUAUAAUAAAUAUUUAAUUUCCACAUCUCAUUAUAAUGGAAGUUAAACUUAAAGCACCACCGUACAGCAGAGUGGUCACGUGGUGCGUCAUUCGCUCCAGGAUGCUCGUUAUGUAUUUGUAGCCUAAUUAUCAUUUUGAUAGUAGGCUAAUAAAGCUAAUAUAGACACUUACAGCAUGUGUUGCCUUCAUUAUAAGGCAUUUCAGUUUUUGCGGCUCCAGACGGAUUUGUUAUUGUUUUCUUGGUCCAAUAUGGCUCUUUCAACAGUUUGCGUUGCCGGCCCCUGGUCUACGGGAUAUAUGGUGAUCUCGCCUGUGUACAGAUCACUUUCUUACACCUGCACAUGUAAUCAACAACCUGAAAAAAUGAUUUUAAUAAUCCCAUGACAGGACUGGAUGGAGAAUCCCCA